This 484-nucleotide ribosomal RNA is filed under the name uncultured bacterium. Its description in RNAcentral is "partial 16S ribosomal RNA". It matches the Rfam family "Bacterial small subunit ribosomal RNA", at positions 30 to 507 of the family's 1533-position model. The record is from RNAcentral.
AUUGAACGCUGGCGGCAGGCCUAACACAUGCAAGUCGAGCGGAUGAAGGGAGCUUGCUCCUGGAUUCAGCGGCGGACGGGUGAGUAAUGCCUAGGAAUCUGCCUGGUAGUGGGGGAUAACGUCCGGAAACGUGCGCUAAUACCGCAUACGUCCUGAGGGAGAAAUUGGGGGAUCUUCGGACCUCACGCUAUCAGAUGAGCCCAGGUCGGAUUAGCUAGUUGGUGGGGUAAAGGCCUACCAAGGCGACGAUCCGUAUCUGGUCUGAGAGGAUGAUCAGUCACACUGGAACUGAGACACGGUCCAGACUCCUACGGGAGGCAGCAGUGGGGAAUAUUGGACAAUGGGCGAAAGACUGAUCCAGCCAUGCCGCGUGUGUGAAGAAGGUCUUCGGAUUGUAAAGCACUUUAAGUUGGGAGGAAGGGCAGUAAGUUAAUACCUUGCUGUUUUGACGUUACCAACAGAAUAAGCACCGGCUAACUUCGUG